GAAAGGAAAAGGGAAACACUGAAAAAGAUUAACUGACUUACCCUUAAUUAGUGUUUGCCACUAAAUACAAAUAAAUAUAAAUGAAAAUAACCGGAGUACCGGCCACCAUUUAUUGACUGUAUACUGAUCAGUAUGACUAAAUACUGAUUGGUAUAGAGUAGCAUUACAGAGACUUUCAUAAACUAAUUUUAACUCAUAGAUACAAAGUAUACCUCUUUCAAAAUGAAGAUUUAUUAAGUACUUCACAAUCUUGCUAAGUACAUCACAAUUGAUAGGACUUUGAUUCCUCCCAACUCAGAGGUAAGCAUUUCAGAACUUACAGUGAGAAACCUAUUCCCAUAGAGCAACAGGCCAAGAAUACACAGUUGUCAGUGGGAGGCGCCUAAACCUGAACUGCCCUGAGCUGUUAGCCACAUAAUAGGCUUGCUUAGUCAUAGAACACUAACGCAAGAAUCUGUGCAGGUAAAUGAAGCCUAACCUUAACCUGCAGGAAAGGCUGCAGAGUCAGACUCCUGUCUCAACUGACAGGGCCCUGCGAGAAGGAACAGCGGAGCACUUGAAAUCAGGUAGCACGUCAGCACUCAGACCCAGGGAAGCCUGCCAACUCCCGGCCUCUGCCUCCAAACUCACCCAGGGUGCCCUGGCUCCAGCAGCCUUACAGGGAGGUGUGCCACUCCUAACUCUGAAACAGGGGCCCACAGAGAGCUACUGGAGAGAAUGUCUACAGGAAAGAGGCAGGGAGCAGAAAAUGAUUGCUCACACAUUUACCUUUCUUCGAGUCAGGCAAGAAUGGACCAUUUCAACUUUGGGGAUUGGUAGGGAUCUUGAUAGAAGUUAGGAGAGGAAGGAAAAAAAAUCUCUGUCUGGAAUAUGUUCUGGUGGUGGACAACCGCGGAAGCAGACUACAGAGAAGACAAAUCCUAUUAAGCCAGCUGGAAGGACUGAGAGCAGCUGGUGCUUUGGAGGCAGAAGCAGCUAGGAAAGGCUCAGAAAAAUCUGCAUUGCAGAUAAGCCUCACGGGAGACAGCUGAACUCUGUAACAUCUCCCCAAACCAGCUUCUCUCCUGAGAGCGGAGUGGCCGCAGGUGGUGUAAUUUAGAACGUAAAUAAUUUCCAAGCCUUUCUGGUGACCUUGGAUGGUUUAACACAAUUCCAUCUUUUAUCUUGCUGCUUUUCACCAGUCGUGUUUGUGCAUGCGCAUGCGUGUGUGUGGAGGGGGUAGAGGGUGGGGGGUGGAGUGGGCAGAAAGCAGGAAAGGGACACAAUGAACAGGAUUGUGUACUGCCUUCCAUCCUUUUAUAGUUCUUUCCUACCUUUUAUUUAGUGUUAGGCUUGAUCUUCAUUAAACUUACAGUACUCAGCUUCAACACGGCAUAAAGAAAGAACUGAGCGCCUACCUCGACUAUUAAGAAGAGGGUGGGGAAAUAUAUAAACUUGGAAAGUCAUAAUAAUCGCUACUGAUUAUAGACCUUCAGCUAUGUCAAUUAUCUUCAUUAACUGCCUCAGUAUCCUAAUGAGGUUGAUCUUAUUCCGGUUUUGUACUACCAGGGCUGGAUAGAUUCCCAAUUUUUCACAGCUGAUGAGCGCCAGAAACUAGAUUUGAACCCAAGGGUAUCUAACUUCAAAGAAUGCACUUAUUCCACUACAUUAUAGCCCAGCAUCUGCUGAAGGCCUUUUAUGUGCCAGACAUUCUCCUUACAAAAGGCAAUAAUGGCCAUUGCCUCCAGAAAUCCCUGCUUCGUUGGGAUAAAGGCAAUGGUAAUAAAUAGCUUUAUAAAUAGAGUCUGUUAUUAAAAAAACUUUUCUAAAAAGACUUCAUAUUUUCUAGAAUGUGUUCCCAAAUAGUAAUUUAGAAUUCUACUUAAAACACACACAUGCACACUGUAAUUAAAGUCUAGUAUAUGAUCACAAGAACAGUAAGUCACUGUGGGGAUGAGCGAUGAUUGAGGGGAACACAGGAUUGUUAGGACGGCGACGACACUCUGUACAAUAUUAUAGGGAAGGACACACGUCCUUAUACAUUUGUCGAACUCGCUGAGUGUACCCCGCAGUGAGCCCUAAGGUACACUGUGUACUCUGGGUGAUGGCGGUCUGUCAGUGGCCAUCCUUGAUGGAAAAUGGACCAUUUUGGCGAGACAUGCUGAUCACAGGGAAGGCUAUGCGUGUGUGGGGGCGGGGAGUGUGUGCAAACUCCCUGUACCUCCCUCUCAGUUUCGUCAUAAACCUAAAACUGCUCUAAAAACAAUGUCUGAAUAAAAGGGGUAUAUAGAGCAAGAGCAGAACAGACAUUUUGGACACCUCCGACAAUCCAAUAUGGGGUCACUGUUGCCAUGACAGUUAUGUCAAGUGCUCUGUACUGAUCACAGGGUCAUGGGGUGUAACAAGUAUGCUCUUAGGAGGGGGACCCAGACACCCAAAACCACAUUUAGAUAAGGAGUCCAUCUGGACACCGAUAUGAGUGGGACCUACGCCCCUGGUGGGCUAUAAGAACUCAGAGCUCUGACCACCUGAUGGCCAAGCUCAGCUGUGUCAUGGGUCACGCUUGGAGCCCCGCUGGACUUUCACUGCGCAGGAUGCAUGCCACCUGCUUGAACUAACACCCGCUUCUCCACCUGUGGACGCCAGGGACUGGGACUUCUUACUGGACACUCGCUCUGCUCAUGUCUAUCGCAUAAGGUCCCCCACACCCCACCGUGUGUGGCCUGCAUGAGACUCUGUUGGCUUAUCAGAGAGGUCUCCCCGAGUAAACCUGGCAUGGUGGAAAGACACAAACGUGUGCGAGUGACUCCUUCUGGGGACACUGCCUUGUUCACGGCAAGGGGGAAAAGCCGCAAAAUAAAUAUCUAAUUAAAGGGAGAGCAUAGACAUGGUUUUCAUGAUCUAGAGGGUGAAUGAAAUGAUAAAUGGAACUUGUCAGUUAGGUAUGCUUUUUAGGGAAAGACAAUAGAAUAAGAAAUCAGUCUGUCAGUCAGUCAGCAUCGUUUUCAAGCAAUCACUCUUUGCAGUAGUUUCUGGGGUUCUAGUUAGGACUGAGACAAACACUCAAGAAGGUUCCAGUCUUGUGCGGGAGACUUGCAUUGAGUUGAUAAAUAGUAAGUGAGACAAGUGCAGAGUGCUAUGGAGUAUGUAUGGCAGGUCUAUGUUAGACCAGAGUCCGAGAGAAGGCUUGACCAUGGAAUCUGAGACCUGACCAAUAAGCAGGACUUGAGAAAGUGGAGGGGCUGGGGAGGGAGGAGUGGGGUGGGAAGAGGAGUAUAGAGAGUGUUCUAGGCAAAGAGAAAAAAUAUAUAUGCAAUAGCCCCAAGGCAACAGACUCAAGAUGGUCCUAGAAAGCCAGAAGCCAGAUCAUAGGUGGCCAGGAAGCACAGUUUAUAGAUUCCCAACUUUAUGCUUACUACGGAAAGUGUUGAAAGACUUUAAACACAGGAAUAUCAUAAUUAGAUUGUAUUUUUAAAAGAUGGAGCAAGAGUUGAUGCAGGAAGCUAUUGUGGUUGUGAAGAUCAGAGAGGAUGAGAGACUAACAUGAUCCUUGGGGUACAGAAUAGAUUUGAAAAAUUAGAAAGUAGAACUGAUAGGACUUGAAACUUGACUGGACUGGUAGACUUUAGGUAGCAAUUUUAAUAAAUGUUAUUUACAUAAAUAACAAUGAUAGUUGAUAAAGUGACAUUUCAGAGCCUUUGAGAGUACAUAAAAAUUAUAAAAUUGUUAUUCAAACGGUGAGUAAGGUAGACUGUAAUGGGAAAAUCCCAAUAGCAGUGGCUUACACCCAACAGAAAUUCAUUAUGAGAUUAGCUCAUAAUGUUCAUAUUCAAAAUGGCUGCUGAGGAUCCAGCCAUUUAGUCUCAAUUCCCAACUGCAGAAAGAUGUAGAAGUGAUGACAAGUAGUUGACCUAAGUUUCACACACAACUUGAAUUCUCACCUUACUGGCCAGAAAUUAGUCAUACGGUCACAUCUACUUGCAAAGGAGACUAGAAUUCCCCAAACGUGGGAGCCCCAUUAUUACUGGGGAAGAAGACAGAGAUCAUCAGUAUUUUGGACAAAAAGUAAUCUGCACCACAUUAAUUACGGGCUAAGCCCUUGGGUAUGGACUGUAAAAAACUAAAACGUAUAAAUUGUACCAGGCCUUAACAACAACAUAAAAUUAAAAUACACUGAAAUGAAUCCACUUUGAAAUAACACUACACAAUUGCUAAGACUCCAAGGACACUUUCUAACCUCAGUUACCAUCUAGAUGGGCUGGGGAAGUCCAACAGAGUUUCACCAUCAAUAAAUAUGGUUUUAGACUGCUAGAAAGCAGCCUCAGCUAUGCCAGUAGUGAAGUAUAGUUGAUUAUGAUUUCAUUUUCUUUAUUUUUAAUAGUGACCAUAGAAAGCCAAACUAAUGUUUUUUAUUUACUUUCCUUAGCACAAGGCCUUGAGUUUAAAUUAUGUUAUGUUACUAAAUCCAUUAACAUUUCACUAGGUCUGGUGAUUUAACCUCUACAGACAUUUAACUUGAGAUUAUAAUGACUUCGUGCAGAAAAUGAGAAUUAGUGGCAGGCAGGGAGUGAUUUAUUUUAUACUUUGUGUCUUUGAUGUGUUCUUGGUUUGUUUCUAAGAAUAAAGGCUGCCAGCAAGAUUCCGUGUUUGGACAAUCUAGGGAAAAUGCUCCUCUCAUCCACAUGUGACUCCCAGGAUGCUGAAGUCAAGUUCUGGUGCGACUCCUAACUUGCCCCUUAACAUGCCUUUGACUUUUACAAUGAAGCCACUUUCCUGUUAUUCUCAUAUUCUUUGUUUUCAUUUUACUGUGUUUUGUGUCCCAGACUCACUGAAAGAACAGAAACCUUUAAUUAAAUCAAGCCAUAUAAAACCAAUAAUAGUAUUGUGGCAGCUAAAGAGCAGCAUUAAAUUAUACUCAUUAUUAACAUAAAUAGUCACAUUCUUAAUUUUGCCAAGCAAAGGAUUAUGCAACAUUCGGUCACAUAUUCUAUCCUAUCAGUUAAAUCAAUACAUAUUUAUUUAUUUAACUCUGAUGUUGCAUAUUCCCUAUCUACUUGGUCCGCUUACUUCAGUAUUGCUGCCAGUGCACGAUUUCUGGGUCUUCACAUUGCAUAUCGUUUCUGUUGUCUCUGCUUAGGGUUACCGUGCAGUCCUGUUGAGUAGGGAAGUAGUUUUCCUGUAACUAACGCUCAUCUCCAGGUUUUUGCAUUUGUUACUCUAGCCUUAGGUAUAAAGACAGUUUAUAUUUACAUUCUGUGUUUGAGCUUACAACAUGCAUUCACAUGUUCACCUCAACACUAAAAACCAGUUAUCAUCUUUAUUUUUCAAGAAAAAAAGGCCUAGGAAAGAGAAGUGAUUUUUCCAGCUAGCUAGUAAAUAGUAGAGGUAGAACAAUAGAAUUAGUGUAAAAGAGUGUAGUGCAAACAUAUAUUGAUGUUAUGAAAAUCAUAGUGAAGAAAAUGAAAUAUGGUCACUGAUGGAGAAGUUACACAUAUUUCUUCCUCCAAAUCAGUAUUAAAGUGAUUUUUUAAAUGUUAAAAAAGAAUGUAACCUAACAAAAAUAUUGAAGCUAUUCUAGAAGGCGGAAUGCACAUGGGCUGAGACAGAAAGAGAAAAAAAAAAGGAAGGAAACUGCUGGUAGGAGCACUUCAACGAAUAGCAAGCUUUUUAAGGAAACCUGGAGAAACUUCAAGUUUAGAGUCUUCAGUCAGAGUCCAAGGGGAGUGGAGAAGAACCAGUAUCAUGGCAGUUCAUUCAGAACAUGCUCAGAACAAUUGGGACCCUUCUUUCUCUCCCUCGCUACUAUACUUUUCGCUGACAGGAGAAGCUUUUGCCUUUAAGGGUGGAAAUGAGAACUAAUCUUUAAUGAAAGCAGGUGAUCAGUUUUGGAACCCGGUCCGGUACAGAUAAAUGGAUGCAGAAUGAACACAUAUUGUGGCAUUGAGUUGGUCCUGGCCUGCUCCCCUUGUUGGCUCCAUCCCCAUGCUCCUCGGGGAUGCUGCUUCCUGAAUACCCAGACCUGCCAGGCACAGCGAGGGGCACCCAGGUCUGCUCAGCCACAGAGGAAACCUGCAACAACAGCUACCUAUGAUCCUCAGCCUAGUUCUCCAUUCAUCAGAAUAAACAGAGAAAACACCCUCCAAAUCAAUCUGAAGAAAACCACAAGCUGAACAAGGAAAAUACUUAAAAAAAAAAAGAUUCUUGGGGGAAAGAGAGAUAAUCUUGGAAACAGGAGACAACUUAGAGAACUUAGAAAGAAUAUUGCAUACAUCAAAAAUAUACUUCCUUCUGAAAAAUAAAAUUAUGGAAAACUACCAGCCAUACAAUAAGAACUCUUAGAAAUUAAUAUAUGAUUUCUCAAAUAAAUAAUUCACUAAAUUGAAAUAAUAGAAUCAGCAGGGCUGAAGGCAAAUAAUUCAGCUAAGAAGAGGAAGAAGACAAAAACUCCUAAAAUGCAGAAAAAGUGAAAGGGGGAUUUAAAAAAUAUGUGAAAAAGGAGACAUGACAUUCAACCCAGGAAGUUCGACAUUUACUGACGGGAAUCCCCUAAAUAUAGAACAGAGGCAGGGAUAGCAAGAAGGAAAAAAAAAAAAAACAGAGAAAACUUUCCCUGAGUUAAAAAGAUAUAAUUUUAAAUGAUCAGAUUACCAAAUGGGAUAAAUGCUAAAAGACUUCUAUCGGAACACAUCCUUUUGAAAUUUCACAAAAUUCCUAAACUCUACUAGAAAGAAAAAAAAAAAUCAAGGUUAUUCACAGAAGAAUGAGAAUCUGACUGAUAUCAGACUUUUUAUCAGUAACACUGGAUGCUUAAAAUCAAAUGAUAUUUGAAUGAACUGUAAAAAAACAAACUAAAAAAGAAGGCAGAAAGGGAGAGACAGCGUUAGUGUGUAAAAUUCCUCAUUUUUAUUGUAGGAAGUCAAUAGAUAAUGUUCAAAGUUAAGAAACUGAACUACUGUAUACAGUCAAAAGAUCUCUUAGAGAACAGGAAUUAUUAAAAUAGUUUUCAGGGGAUGUGAGACUGGAGAUGGGUUUAGGGUGAAAGACUUCAAUUUUAUUUUGGUCCAUUUGGCUUGAUUUAUUUUUUAUGAUGUGCGGGUAUUAAUUUAAUUAAAAAGGAAUAAACUCACCACUUACUCUAAAAUAUACAUUGCAUGCCUACUCUAUGCUAACAAGUUUUCCAGGCACUAGAGAAAUACCAAAGGCAGAAGACAAACUUAAGUUUCCAUACUUUUAGACUUUACAUCCUUGUGGGAUGAGACAGAAAACAAACCAAAACUUUGCCACUAUUGACAUUUUGUGCCAGAUAACUCUUUGUUGCAGGGGACUGUCCACUGUAGGAUGCUUAGCAGCAUCCCUGGACUCGACUCAUUAGAAGUUAGUAGCUCUUGCCCAGUUACGAUAAUCGAAAUGUCUCCAGACAUUUCCAAAUGACCGCUGGCAGAGGGGGUGAGUUGUCCCUGGUUAAGAAGAACUGGUAUAGGACGUAGCUUUGGGGCCAGACGGACCUGGGUUUUACUUCAAGCACCACCAAGUAUAAGGUCUUUCUCUUUGAGAAAUACAGUCAACAUCACUAAACCUUGUCUCCUCUUCUGUAAAAUGGGGAUAAACUAUUUUCCAAGGUCUUAUCCCCCUCUUCUUCCUCCUUCCCUAUUUCUUUUUAAACAAUCACAUGAGAAAACUUAUGUACUUGGCACAUAAUAUGCAUUAAAUAAAUAACAACUCUUAUUAUUUUAAUUUUCACCAUAGCAAUGAUGAUGAAGAAGAAAAGGACAGAAGUCUGUGGAGUGGAGGGUGAGUGCCAAGGGCUAGUGAGGGGUGAGAGGUCUGUGCAGUCCUUGAAAGUUUGGGCCAGGGGUCUGGUUAUGCUCCAGAAUGGCACUCUCCAAUAAAACACUGUGAUUAUGGAAAGGUACUAUAAUACACAAUGCCCUAUAGUACAUAAUGUUCUAAGAAAAUAAUAUGGCUAUGGAGCACUUAAAGUGUGACUAAUGUGACCAAGGAAAGAAAGAUUAAUUAUUUUUUUAAUAAUUUAAAUUGAAAUAGUUGCAUAGGGCCAGGAACAAUCAUAUUUAUUGGCCAGUACAGCUCAAGAGAGCAAAUGAGAACCACUGAAAGGAACAAAGAGAAACUGCAGAGAAAGGUGCCACUGUCUGUCUGGGAGACCAAGGGGGUGAUGGUGUUCAGGGCAGAGCAACCAGAUAAAGCAUUUCUGUAACCCCAACAUGGUAUAAUGAGAGCUUGGAUGAGGGUGGUGGAUAGGAGAAUUGGGGAACAGGAGGGCCACCAGAACGAGCAUGUCCUCGGUAGACCCAUCCCUGUGGCCUCUGCCUGGAGACACGUGACCUCAACCCUAACCCUACUCAAUAGCCUCUGAGGUUGUCACCUUCUUUAUGCAUGCUACCUUUCCAUCUGCAUCUGAGAUCAGAACUGGGGUUCACAGCUUCCCCCUCAACGUUCUUUAUAAGCUCUUAUUCUAACCUGCAAAUCACAAUGCCUGCUUUUAAAGGUGUUUCUCCACAAAUCUGAUUUUCCAAAACUAUAAUGACUUUCUUUGCUAUCUCAGGCUCUUGCUGAGUUAUUUACCACUUGCCUAAAAUUCUGUGAAACUUAGAACUAAACAAUGGACUCUUCUUAUUAAUCUACCCUCCGUCAAAUGCUUUUAAGUCAGUAAGAUUACAUUUUCUAUGCCAUAUUUAGCCUAUCUCCUUUGCAUACUGAAAGGUUUAGAACCAUUUCAGUAGUAACUGUUAUUUUCACUAGUAUUUACUGAGCUCCACGCUGCAUGGUUUUAGGCUCUAAAUGCUGGAGUCUUUUGGGAGAGCAGGGCAAUCCAUUUAAGUGAAGGUCAUGGCUACCUUGGAAUGGGUUCUUUAAUUUAGCAAUCAAGUGCAUUAUAAAUUGUGCAGAUUUAAGACAGUAUACUCAUUUAUCUGCUUUGAAGUUGAAAGUAAAAGGCUUUGGAGUCAGAAGGAUAUGAGCCCCAAGUUUGCCGUUUUCCAGUGGGGAGAGUUGGGUAGGCCACUUGCAGUCUUCUAACUUUAGUUUUCUCAUCUGUGAUAAAUAUAAGAUCUACCAUUCCCACACCAGAGACUGUUGUUGAGGUUUGGGAUGUCAUGUAUUAGAAAAUGCUUUCUAAAACUUAAAAAGUGGUACAGAAUGUUUCUUUCUUAAAGUCUAAAUGCAACAUAAUUGGUUGCAUUAUUCCAAUAAUUUUAUAAUCUAAAGUUCACAACCUGGUUCUUUUUGUGAGUAUAAUACACAAUACAGAACUAAAAAUGCAUGUACACAUUAAGCUAUAUAUUACAUGUCUUAUUUCCCUUUCAUAUAUUGGGCUAUCCACCAUCUUGUAGAGAAAAAGUACAGCAUUCUGACCAGAGUUCUAUGAGUUACAUAGGCCCAUAAGUUCUAAGGAAGAUUUCCAAAUUUUUUUCAUUGUUAGAUCUCAAGUACCAAUGUAAUCUUAUAAAGUCAUUAAUUUUAAGGCUUUCUGUCCCCACUGUUUAAAGUAUAGACAGCCUAGUUAUUUUUUUUGAGAUUCUAGAAUAUCACAAAUUCACUGCAAUAUGUUCAAAAUCAUGCUAUCCAGUUGCUCUUGGGCAAUGUGUGAAAAGAAUCUUUACUGCCACGGUGUUGCACCUUAUUCUGUAUACAUAACUAUGGAAUCUUAUCACAAGAAAAUCAUAUAAGAAGCAAGAAAAUAUUUUUAAAGAAAACUAAACAUAAAGAUUGUUAACCUUGAAAAUAUAUGAUCUUUCUGUAAAAAAAAUCAUUUCCUCAGUUCUUACACAAUGCGAAGAAAUAUUUUUGGGUUCUAAUGUGUUAAAUAGAGUAGCUUUGUUUUAACAAUUGCCAGAUGUGGAUCAAGGUACUUCCGGCUGCUUUAAAUGGUCAUAAUCCAGAGUCAUUAACACCAGGAGAGAAUCUGAAGAAAGGUUAAUUCAAACCAUCCAAGGCAGACUCCAAUGAAAUCCACACACACACAAAGGAUUGAUUUAGACUUUUUUUUUUUUGAGAGAGAGACAGGGAGGAUUUGCGUCAGAAAGACCAGAAAUUAUCCUGUGCUACUCUGAGACUCUUAACUACCGAACACAGUUAAAGGGGCAUAAGGGCACAGGCAUGGUAUCCAAAUUCUGGAAAUCUUAGCAAUUACAGUUCGACAAUGCAAAGAAGACUAGCACUGUCCAUCCCAGGAAGACUGGAGUUACACACUCACACACUCACACACGAUACUCCUUUUCUCAGAUUCCGUUUGGCAGAUGCAUCAAGGGCAUGUUCUAUGUAGCCAACAAAGGGAGUAACUCAGAUGCCAAGGGCAUGAUUUCUCUCCUCACAGAUAUGUUCUAAAUGUUCUCCUUGAAGAAGUGUGGUUAUCCAUUUACACUGACUCCUGUUCAUAUAAACUGAUUUGAGAUUUCACUAGAAUUUUUAAUUUAAAGUUCCUAAUGACUCUGCUCAUGCCCACUUGGCUGUUUAAAUAAACACCAAAUUACAAAACAACAGGGACAAGAUCCAGCGAUCCAAGCCUAGAGAUAGCGCCAACCCUUUAAACAAAGGAUAAACACGAAUAAGUAUGAAGACAUCACAGAUGUUUCAUAUGCACUUAAGCUGUUCUCCUGGAUGGAUGAGUAGGCCGUAUUUAUUGAAUUUGUUAUUUCCUUCGUUUACAGCUGCAAAGUGUGGUGUGGGAGGAAGCAAACAGGUAAAUGUUCCCAAGUUCCUGCAGCUACAAAGGAGCGUUGAGAGGCAGAGCCUAGCAGUGGAGGCGGAAAGACUACACCCCUCCAGACAGAGCCUGUCAGGGCUUUUUGUGAGCGCUUUGCCUCCGUGAACGCUCCAACAGCCAAUAAACACGUGCAUCCUUCCUUCAGAAGAAAGCAGGUGCCAUCAUCAACCAGAUCAGUUGUCCAGAAAGAAAUGAUUCUGUUGGGAAAAAUGCAUUCCUUAAACCAGAGACUAUCCUCAAAACUGCCCUGUGGCUCUCGGCAGAGUCCCCCAAAGCUUGGAUUUAGAUGUGAGAGACCAGAGAUGGCAGGUGGAGACCCAGAAGCUUCGCUACCAAGCACAGAGCAACGCAAGAGGUGUCAAGAGCUAGAGGGGCAGAGAAUUUAGUAGGCCAGCACCAUGCUGAACCUCCAGGCAGAGUUCAAGGAAGUCCAAAGAAAUCACGAAGCAGGGAACAGAAGUGGAGUAAAGAAACUGGCAGAGAAUUACGUGCAAUUGCAUCCCCAAACCUGAGCCACAAGGAUUCAUCAUAUGGCACAAUAAGCACUGAGCAUUGGCAGGACAAAUGAAAUGUCAAUAGCUCCUUAGGGCUGGUUUAAUGGAUCUUUCAUAAAACCAUUGGCUGGAAUCGAAAUAACUCACAAGAGAAACAAUUCUCGCUCUCACCAUCAAAGAGGUUGUGAAGUAUGUAGUGCUUUAACAGCUGCAGGAAGAGAAGGGCUCACAUUUGACCUGCUCAUAACAACUUCUCUAAUCACUUCUAAUUUUUCUUCUCUGGACAUUCACCUCUCAACCUCUAAUCAAAGCGAGGUCCACAGACCAGCCGUGGCCACACACCACCUGGGAGCUUGUUACAGAAUCUCAGGCCUGUCCCCAGACCUACUGACUCUGGAUCUGCAUGUUAGUAGGAUCUCAGUUGAUUCCUCUCUGCUGUAAAGUUGGAAAAGCAUAUCUCCUAGCAUCUAUUCUUACCCCUUAUCAUUCAUUCUCUGCACAGUUGCCUGAAUAAUCUUUUAAUUUAGUUUGUGUCCCCACUGAUUAUUCCCCCUGUAGAAAGGAAAGCCCAGUGAGGGCAGGAGCAGUGCGUGGGCUGGGCCCCACUAAGUCCUCCGGAAUUUACUGGUGAGCUACUCCCUACGAGGCAGUCUGCUAGGAACCAGGGAAACAAUACAAACAGAAGAGGGCUUCUUUCCUCAAGCAGCUUUUAGCUACCUCUCUCCCUUCACAUUUCCACUUCCCAAAGUCCAACAUUAGAGUCACCUUUGAGUCCUUCUGCUUUUUGUCCCUCCUACCGGUCAAGGUCUUGGCUAUUCUCUGUUUAUCAGUUCAAGCUCAAGAAACAUCCCUCACUGUCACGACCUCUCGUUGCAUGCUCACAGUCAACAGUCGCUUCAAGCCUCCAUUUUUUCCUGAAUGAUUUCAAAGUGAUGCUUUCUUCAACAUGCUCACUCACUCACAAGUCUAAUUUAUCUCAUGAGGCUAUAAAAAAAAAGUCAUCUGAACAUGCAGUUAGGGUCAUAAUGGUCUUUUAUUCAAUAUACACUCAAUAGCUUCCCAUUGAACUCUGAAAAAAACCCUCCUCAACUUGGCAUUUAAGGUCCAUUGCGAAUGUAUUAAGUUGAACUGAAUAAAACAGAACAGAAUAUUAUCCAUUUCAUACGGUGCCACCUAAUAGUAUUCACGUACCUUUCCAUCCUUAUCGUCUAAGAAUGCCCUUCUGUCCUGCACGCUAGAAUACAAAUGAGAUCAGUCUACACUUUCCAAGCAUGUUCACUUCCUUUGGUUCCUUUGCUAAUGUUUAUUCUUCUUGGAGUUCCUCUAUGCAUUCUCUCUCCCCUGAAUACUUCCAUUCAUCCCCAAGUUCCAUCUCAAAGGACUCACCCUCCGUGAUGUAUUUCCUGUUGAGUCUCUUCUCAAUUGUUAGUAAUCCUGCCAUACAAUGAAGUCCUUAAGAAAUGACUCAUGUGUCUCUUACAGUACCAAUGAGCAUUGGUGCUACUUCUCGUCUUAUUCUUCUAUACUGAGCACUGAGCUCCCAAAGUGUUUUGCUGUAUAUAUUCCUUUGCAAGUAGAGCAUCUUAAUACAUUAUUUGUGUAAUUGUUAGUACCCUCAGUUAUUUUUCUGGUCAGUUUUACUUAAGUUUGAAUGUGGUAUUUUCUCACUGUACAUGAUAGUCCCUGAUUGUUUAUUAUUUUAGCCAUUUGAAACUUCCUUUGUCAUUAUUUAAAUUAUGAGGAAAAAAAAAACCUUUGCAAGAUAAGGCACCCAUUACACUAUCUAGCACCUGAAUUGUCUCAUUUUCUUACAUAGAUUACACAGUUCACUAAUGUAAAUUCAUUGUAAUGACAUAGGAGAUGCUUUAUUAAUUCAUUUUAAAACAUCCUCAUUUAUCUCUGAUGUUACUCCUUAAAGAAGAAAGUUCCCUGGGUCAAAUAGAAAAUAUACAUUACAAGUAUAAAAUCUACCAGAACUUGAAUAUUAUAGUGAAGUAUUUGAAGAUCUAUUUACCUCUUCAUUAUGUAUAUUAAAAAAAGAAUCUACAAGCAUACCAUUUAACCUUAUUGCAGAACAUAUAUUUCAUGUGCAUACAGGAAACAUUAAAACAAUGACUACGAGCUCAAAACUUACUAGAAAAAAAAUGCUGUGCAUUGUGAUUAGUAUGAAAGACUCUGGGCCUGUCUUGUAUUUGAUUGUUCACCUGGAGUCUCAGUUCAUUCGUUUGUAAAAUGGACACCGUGCUCACUUCCCAGGAUUACAGCGAGAGUUAAAAUGAGACUCCAUGACAUGCACUAAGGGCUCAGAGUAUUAUCUGGCACAUUGUCAACAAAAAUCAUAAUUUUAUUAAUAAAGAUAAACGACAACAAGAAAGGAUAGCUUUCUCUAAAGCUGUUAUGAUUCUAGAAGUUUCUUUAUUGAUUCCUUAAGUAUAUAUGCAUAAAAUGAUGUCAUACUGAAGUAGUCCAUAAUGAGCAUGACAGUGUUGGAGGAGACUAUGACAUCACUGCUAGUGUUACAUUUGGAAAGAGGGGGAGAGCAACAGCCUCCUCCCCUCCGCUGCAGCACAGUCUGGGCCGAAGCCGCGCGGAGCAGUAAACAAUGUUGAGCCCGGGAUGUUCGGUGAGUGUCCAGAAAGCAAAACUCAUGCUGCAGUUUGGCCUCUUUCCCCAGCUGAUGAAAGUGAAAGGACAUUUCAACAAUUCUUUCCACCUUAACCUAAAACCAGGAAAAUUCUUUUCCAUAGAGCCUGGAGAAAUUUUUACACAUGGUUUGCCUGCUUUUCUACCUGGUAUUAUCUAAUUUAUUACCAUAAAUUAAGGGUUUAUAAUGAACAAGUGAGGUAACUAAAAAAAUGUGCUAAAUGUCUGUCUCACGGUACGUAAUCUCAUGAAAAACAAGAACAAAAAAGUAAUGGGGGGGAUUCAGAUUUUCCCAUCAAAUUUAUUUAUCCAUCAAGUAAUUCAAUAAAUACUUAUUGAACUGCCGUGCUCAAAACAUUAUGCUACGUGCUGAAGGUUACAAGUGAAAAAUCAAUAAAAGAAUUUAGUGCCAAAACUAAUGCCAAGACAGAUGUUGUUGGUUGGAAAAACCAUCAUCCAGAUCCCUGACUCUCCUAAGAGUCCAGCAUUCAAAUUCUAUUCUGAUUUGACGACAUAACAGUCUAUUUGAAUAAACUCUGGUUUAUUACACAAAAUCUGUCAACACAUACCUAGAUGAAUUUUUAAGUGGUGCUAGCAAACUUAGGGACCAAGAAGCUCUUGGUGAGGUAAUAUGCCACUCUUCUAGUUUAAGUUCCUACUGAGUAUAGUGAAGGCUCUUAUUUUGGUGGAUACAUAAUAACUUCAUCUGUCUCCAAUUCAUCUAAACACCCCAGAAUUCAAAAUUAAUGUAAUGAUUUGCUAGGGAGUCUGAAGAUUUGGAUACAGAUUCUCAUAAGAAAUAUAUACUGUAAAUGGAUUCUGUUAGGUGGGAAAAGAGAAAAGCGGGGGAGUUUAACCAAACAUAAAAUAUUUUCACUUACUGUGAGUGAAAGCUGAAAUGAAUAUGGCCCUAAGGGCUUUACAAUAUUCAGGGGAAACAGCAAGUCCUACUUGGAGAUUUCAUACAUGAUUUCCCGGAAUAAUUUCUGAGGAAACAGUGCAAUAUACUUCAUGGAUCUCUGAAUACAUGAAAGAAAUCUAAUGGAGGAGUCUAUUACAUCUUGUUCAAUAUCUGAAAUAAUGCAAUUUCUUUUCUUUUAGGGCACAGUGCUUUAUUUUAACAAAUUCAUUUUCUUGUGCAAAAAAGGGUAUAUGAUGCUGCCCACACUUUGGAAGGGUGGUGACAGUGACAUCUGCC
Molecule: long non-coding RNA, 15037 nt
Organism: Phyllostomus discolor (pale spear-nosed bat)
Lineage: Eukaryota; Metazoa; Chordata; Mammalia; Chiroptera; Phyllostomidae
Exons: 2
Source: RefSeq, a predicted model, not a curated record